GAGAGGGCGACCGGCCACACUGGGACUGAGACACGGCCCAGANNNNNACGGGAGGCAGCAGUAGGGAAUAUUGGGCAAUGGGCGAAAGCCUGACCCAGCGACGCCGCGUGAGGGAUGAAGGUCUUCGGAUUGUAAACCUCUUUCAGUAGGGAAGAAGCGAAAGUGACGGUACCUAAAGAAGAAGCACCGGCUAACUAUGUGCCGGCAGCCGCGGUAAUACAUAGGGUGCAAGCGUUGUCCGGAAUUAUUGGGCGUAAAGAGCUCGUAGGUCGUUUGUCGCGUCGAUUGUGAAAAUCUGGGGCUCAACCUCAGACCUGCAGUCGAUACGGGCAAACUAGAGUGUGGUAGGGGAGACUGGAAUUCCUGGUGUAGCGGUGGAAUGCGCAGAUAUCAGGAGGAACACCAAUGGCGAAGGCAGGUCUCUGGGCCAUAACUGACACUGAGGAGCGAAAGUGCGGGGAGCGAACAGGAUUAGAUACCCUGGUAGUCCGCACCGUAAACGGUGGGCACUAGUUGUGGGAACCUUCCACGGUUUCCGCGACGCAGCAAACGCAUUAAGUGCCCCGCCUGGGGAGUACGAUCGCAAGAUUAAAACUCAAAGGAAUUGACGGGGCCCCGCACAAGCAGCGGAGCAUGCGGCUUAAUUCGACGCAACGCGAAGAACCUUACCAAGGCUUGACAUAUAGCGAAAAGUGGCAGAGAUGUCAUGUCCGCAAGGGCGCUAUACAGGUGGUGCAUGGUUGUCGUCAGCUCGUGUCGUGAGAUGUUGGGUUAAGUCCCGCAACGAGCG
This 790-nucleotide ribosomal RNA is filed under the name uncultured bacterium. Its description in RNAcentral is "bacterial SSU rRNA". It matches the Rfam family "Bacterial small subunit ribosomal RNA", at positions 294 to 1098 of the family's 1533-position model. The record is from RNAcentral.